CAUAGCGACUAUCGUGGCAUAUCAAUAAGCGGAGGAAAAGAAACUAACAAGGAUUCCCCUAGUAACGGCGAGUGAAGCGGGAAGAGCUCAAAUUUGAAAUCUUAAAGGGUUUCCCUUUACGAAUUGUAGUUUAAAGAAGUGUUUUCUGUUGGAGUUUCGGUAAAAGUUCUUUGGAAUAGGACAUCAUAGAGGGUGAGAAUCCCGUAUUUGACCGUUACUUUCCAGCUGUGUGAUACACUUUCAAAGAGUCGGAUUGUUUGGGAAUGCAGUCCAAAAUGGGUGGUAAAUUUCAUCUAAAGCUAAAUAUUGGCGAGAGACCGAUAGCGAACAAGUACCGCGAGGGAAAGAUGAAAAGAACUUUGAAAAGAGAGUUAAACAGUUCGUGAAAUUGUCAAAGGGGAAGCGUUUGACACCAGUGUUGUUUAGUUGAAAAUCAAUUCAAUAAUUUUUGAUUCUGAGUAGUAUUGACUUCAUCAGCUUGCUGCUUUCUUCUCAGAAAUUAUUGAAUGCACUUUUCAGUUAACAAGUCAACAUCAAUUUCUUUUGUUGUAAAAGGGUAAGAGGAAGGUGGCUCCGCUUCGGCGUCAAGUGUUUAUAGCCUUUUAUCUCUGCAAUCGGAGAGAUUGAGGAUUAGCAGCGUAGACUCCUUCGGGGUUAGAUACACUUGUGCUAAGCUAUAGCCUUGUAUAGACAACUUGUUGACUAUGCUCAGUCAUGUAGCUUACUCGCUGAUGCUAUUUUACCUACGCUUAGGAUGUUGAUAGUCACAGCGUGUAC
RNAcentral lists this ribosomal RNA (777 nucleotides) under uncultured Neocallimastigales. RNAcentral's name for it is "partial large subunit ribosomal RNA". It matches the Rfam family "Eukaryotic large subunit ribosomal RNA", at positions 22 to 644 of the family's 3401-position model. Lineage: Eukaryota; Fungi; Neocallimastigomycota; Neocallimastigomycetes; Neocallimastigales. The record is from RNAcentral.